GACCCCAUGGAGCUUUACUGUAGCUUGACAUUGGGUCUUGGUACUACAUGUACAGGAUAGGUGGGAGGCUUUGAAACCAGGACGCCAGUUUUGGCGGAGCCAUCCUUGGGAUACCACCCUUGUAGUACUGGGACUCUAACCAUAGGCCAUGAAUCUGGUCUUGGGACACUGUCAGGUGGGCAGUUUGACUGGGGCGGUCGCCUCCCAAAAGGUAACGGAGGCGCUCAAAGGUUCUCUCAGUACGGUCGGAAAUCGUACGUAGAGUGUAAAGGCAAAAGAGAGCUUGAUUGCAAGACAUACAGGUCGAGCAAGGAUGAAAAUCGGACUUAGUGAUCCGGUGGUUCUGCGUGGAAGGGCCAUCGCUCAACGGAUAAAAGCUACCCUGGGGAUAACAGGCUUAUCUCCCCCAAGAGUCCACAUCGACGGGGAGGUUUGGCACCUCGAUGUCGGCUCAUCACAUCCUGGGGCUGUAGUAGGUCCCAAGGGUUGGGCUGUUCGCCCAUUAAAGUGGUACGCGAGCUGGGUUCAGAACGUCGUGAGACAGUUCGGUCCCUAUC
RNAcentral lists this ribosomal RNA (557 nucleotides) under Clostridioides difficile. RNAcentral describes it as "partial 23S ribosomal RNA". It matches the Rfam family "Bacterial large subunit ribosomal RNA", at positions 2087 to 2642 of the family's 2925-position model. The record is from RNAcentral. Lineage: Bacteria; Bacillati; Bacillota; Clostridia; Peptostreptococcales; Peptostreptococcaceae.